RNAcentral lists this ribosomal RNA (429 nucleotides) under Acidobacteriota bacterium. RNAcentral describes it as "Acidobacteria bacterium partial 16S ribosomal RNA". It matches the Rfam family "Bacterial small subunit ribosomal RNA", at positions 355 to 776 of the family's 1533-position model. Lineage: Bacteria; Pseudomonadati; Acidobacteriota. The record is from RNAcentral.
UGGGGAAUUUUGGACAAUGGGGGAAACCCUGAUCCAGCCAUCCCGCGUGUGCGAUGAAGGCCUUCGGGUUGUAAAGCACUUUUGGCAGGAAAGAAACGUCAUGGGUUAAUACCCCGUGAAACUGACGGUACCUGCAGAAUAAGCACCGGCUAACUACGUGCCAGCAGCCGCGGUAAUACGUAGGGUGCAAGCGUUAAUCGGAAUUACUGGGCGUAAAGCGUGCGCAGGCGGUUCGGAAAGAAAGAUGUGAAAUCCCAGAGCUCAACUUUGGAACUGCAUUUUUAACUACCGGGCUAGAGUGUGUCAGAGGGAGGAGGAAUUCCGCGUGUAGCAGUGAAAUGCGUAGAUAUGCGGAGGAACACCGGUGGCGAAGGCAGCCUCCUGGGAUAACACUGACGCUCAUGCACGAAAGCGUGGGGAGCAAACAGG